UUUAUGGAGAGUUUGAUCCUGGCUCAGGAUGAACGCUGGCGGCGUGCCUAAUACAUGCAAGUCGAGCGAACAGACGAGGAGCUUGCUCCUUUGACGUUAGCGGCGGACGGGUGAGUAACACGUAGGUAACCUACCUAUAAGACUGGGAUAACUUCGGGAAACCGGAGCUAAUACCGGAUAAUAUUUCGAACCGCAUGGUUCGAUAGUGAAAGAUGGCUUUGCUAUCACUUAUAGAUGGACCUGCGCCGUAUUAGCUAGUUGGUAAGGUAACGGCUUACCAAGGCAACGAUACGUAGCCGACCUGAGAGGGUGAUCGGCCACACUGGAACUGAGACACGGUCCAGACUCCUACGGGAGGCAGCAGUAGGGAAUCUUCCGCAAUGGGCGAAAGCCUGACGGAGCAACGCCGCGUGAGUGAUGAAGGUCUUCGGAUCGUAAAACUCUGUUAUUAGGGAAGAACAAACGU
This 466-nucleotide ribosomal RNA is filed under the name Staphylococcus epidermidis. RNAcentral describes it as "bacterial SSU rRNA". It matches the Rfam family "Bacterial small subunit ribosomal RNA", at positions 1 to 456 of the family's 1533-position model. RNAcentral also lists the same sequence under 1 other name. The record is from RNAcentral. Lineage: Bacteria; Bacillati; Bacillota; Bacilli; Caryophanales; Staphylococcaceae.